Molecule: transfer RNA, 59 nt
Filed under: Ascaridia galli
Lineage: Eukaryota; Metazoa; Nematoda; Chromadorea; Rhabditida; Ascaridiidae
Description: tRNA-Asp
Source: RNAcentral
GAAAGUUUAGUAUAUAUUGUUAGUAUGUUUCUUUGUCAAUGGAACGGAGUAAGCUUUGU